Molecule: ribosomal RNA, 891 nt
Filed under: uncultured bacterium
Lineage: Bacteria
Description: bacterial SSU rRNA
Rfam family: Bacterial small subunit ribosomal RNA
Source: RNAcentral
AUGAACGCUGGCGGCGUGCCUAAUACAUGCAAGUCGAACGAAUCUCUUUUAGAGAUGAGUGGCGAACGGGUGAGUAAUACAUAGGUAACCUGCCCCUGUGCGGGGGAUAACAGGAGGAAACUCCUGCUAAUACCGCAUAGCCAUGAGCACCGCAUGGAGCUCAUGCCAAAUAUCCUUUAUGGGAUAGCGCAGGGAUGGACCUAUGGCGCAUUAGCUGGUUGGCGGGGCAACGGCCCACCAAGGCAACGAUGCGUAGCCGGCCUGAGAGGGCGGACGGCCACAUUGGGACUGAGACACGGCCCAGACUCCUACGGGAGGCAGCAGUAGGGAAUUUUCGGCAAUGGGGGAAACCCUGACCGAGCAACGCCGCGUGAGCGAAGAAGGCCUUCGGGUCGUAAAGCUCUGUUGUAAAGGAAGAACGGCGCAUACAGGAAAUGGUAUGCGAGUGACGGUACUUUACCAGAAAGCCACGGCUAACUACGUGCCAGCAGCCGCGGUAAUACGUAGGUGGCGAGCGUUAUCCGGAAUCAUUGGGCGUAAAGAGGGAGCAGGCGGCCGCAAGGGUCUGUGGUGAAAGACCGAAGCUAAACUUCGGUAAGCCAUGGAAACCGGGCGGCUAGAGUGCGGAAGAGGAUCGUGGAAUUCCAUGUGUAGCGGUGAAAUGCGUAGAUAUAUGGAGGAACACCAGUGGCGAAGGCGACGGUCUGGGCCGCAACUGACGCUCAUUCCCGAAAGCGUGGGGAGCAAAUAGGAUUAGAUACCCUAGUAGUCCACGCCGUAAACGAUGGUCACUAAGUGUCGGGGGUCAAACCCCGGUGCUGCAGUCAACGCAAUAAGUGACCCGCCUGAGUAGUACGUUCGCAAGAAUGAAACUCAAAGGAAUUGACGGAA